CCCAGACAGCCAGGAUGUUGGCUUAGAAGCAGCCAUCAUUUAAAGAAAGCGUAAUAGCUCACUGGUCGAGUCGGCCUGCGCGGAAGAUGUAACGGGGCUAAACCAUGCACCGAAGCUGCGGCAGCGACGCUGUGCGUUGUUGGGUAGGGGAGCGUUCUGUAAGCCUGCGAAGGUGGCCUGUGAGGGUUGCUGGAGGUAUCAGAAGUGCGAAUGCUGACAUAAGUAACGAUAAAGCGGGUGAAAAGCCCGCUCGCCGGAAGACCAA
RNAcentral lists this ribosomal RNA (265 nucleotides) under Salmonella enterica subsp. enterica serovar Newport. RNAcentral describes it as "partial 23S ribosomal RNA". It matches the Rfam family "Bacterial large subunit ribosomal RNA", at positions 1084 to 1348 of the family's 2925-position model. Lineage: Bacteria; Pseudomonadati; Pseudomonadota; Gammaproteobacteria; Enterobacterales; Enterobacteriaceae. The record is from RNAcentral.